CAGUCAAAAGCAGACAUCCAGAGAAAAGAGUAUGAAGAAGUAGCUAUAUACAUCUGCUUUUCCAGUACAGUCGUGGACAGUCACACUUUUGAUGACCCUAAGACACCUGUUGGUUUUAGAGACCUGGAUAACUUCAAUGAAUUUGUUCAUUGACUCUUUGGUUAAAAAUUGUGGAAGAGAAGUUUGGAACCCAAAUGAAUGAAUGAAUAAAUGAGUGAAUGAAUAAAAGAAAGAACUGUUCCAGGUAUCUGGAUUCAUGAUGUGUUGUCCAAAAAUAAUUCAGUAGUACUAUUCACUGAGAAUAAAUCCAUGGGAAUUCAGAGAGUUACAGCCAGCACCUCUAUCUCAACAAUCUAAAUACCAGUCACAAGAGAAAGGAAAUGGUACAGGGUACUGCCGUUAUGCUGCUUUGCACUACUGGUGAUAUCUUUCAUGUUUCUUCCAGUUAUAUGUAUUUCAAGACAGGGAAAAGCUUUCUACCAGUUUCCAGCUGCUGCUUUCUUUAUCUGCUACUGCAAAACCUGAAGGUAUUCAGAGAUACUGAAUUGGAAAAGCAUUCAGAAAUUCCACCUGUGCAAGACAAAACAACUCAAACCUCCUGGGGAGCCUACCAGGCACUGUUGGUAUUCCAACAACCUCUUCUUCAUUCUUGCCUUAUCAAAACAACUGUUCUCCUUGGACACCUAAGGGCUGCUGUGCUGCAAUGUGAAGAUCUCAGGAGCUGCUAUCAGACUGUUCUUGCUUGGCAGAGGGCCCCAUAUUAUGUUAUUUUGUGCCAGAGCUGAUUGGAGUGAGUCUGUUCACAAUAAAUUUCAGAUGACAAUACUGAACUACA
Molecule: long non-coding RNA, 835 nt
Filed under: Numida meleagris (helmeted guineafowl)
Lineage: Eukaryota; Metazoa; Chordata; Aves; Galliformes; Numididae
Description: lncRNA (ENSNMEG00000014590.1)
Source: RNAcentral